ACACAUGCAAGUCGAGCGGUAGAGAGAAGCUUGCUUCUCUUGAGAGCGGCGGACGGGUGAGUAAUGCCUAGGAAUCUGCCUGGUAGUGGGGGAUAACGUUCGGAAACGGACGCUAAUACCGCAUACGUCCUACGGGAGAAAGCAGGGGACCUUCGGGCCUUGCGCUAUCAGAUGAGCCUAGGUCGGAUUAGCUAGUUGGUGAGGUAAUGGCUCACCAAGGCGACGAUCCGUAACUGGUCUGAGAGGAUGAUCAGUCACACUGGAACUGAGACACGGUCCAGACUCCUACGGGAGGCAGCAGUGGGGAAUAUUGGACAAUGGGCGAAAGCCUGAUCCAGCCAUGCCGCGUGUGUGAAGAAGGUCUUCGGAUUGUAAAGCACUUUAAGUUGGGAGGAAGGGCAGUUACCUAAUACGUGAUUGUUUUGACGUUACCGACAGAAUAAGCACCGGCUAACUCUGUGCCAGCAGCCGCGGUAAUACAGAGGGUGCAAGCGUUAAUCGGAAUUACUGGGCGUAAAGCGCGCGUAGGUGGUUUGUUAAGUUGGAUGUGAAAUCCCCGGGCUCAACCUGGGAACUGCAUUCAAAACUGACUGACUAGAGUAUGGUAGAGGGGUGGUGGAAUUUCCUGUGUAGCGGUGAAAUGCGUAGAUAUAGGAAGGAACACCAGUGGCGAAGGCGACCACCUGGACUGAUACUGACACUGAGGUGCGAAAGCGUGGGGAGCAAACAGGAUUAGAUAC
Molecule: ribosomal RNA, 740 nt
Filed under: Pseudomonas sp.
Lineage: Bacteria; Pseudomonadati; Pseudomonadota; Gammaproteobacteria; Pseudomonadales; Pseudomonadaceae
Description: bacterial SSU rRNA
Rfam family: Bacterial small subunit ribosomal RNA
Source: RNAcentral